Molecule: unclassified non-coding RNA, 3519 nt
Filed under: Penaeus monodon (black tiger shrimp)
Lineage: Eukaryota; Metazoa; Arthropoda; Malacostraca; Decapoda; Penaeidae
Description: caskin-1-like, transcript variant X9
Source: RNAcentral
UCACCCCCUACCCCUUCCACCAUGGUGACGCGGGCGGCCAAGCAGCGGGAGCUUUCCUCCACGUACCAAAGCUUCGCGGACACCGGCCCCACGUACUCCUACCUGGACCUUAGCCGCGCCCGCAGCGAUGAGUCCUUGAUGUGGGCGGCGGGCGAGGAGGCGGCGGCUCUCGUGGCUGAGCUGCGGGCGUCGCUGGCUGCGCCCCUUCCGCGCCUCGAGGACGCUCACGCCCCCGCCGGGGAGGACGACGAGCCCGAGGACGAGGGGCUGGAGAUGAGCGCUGUGCCCCUGCGGAGGGCGUCCCUGGGCAGGAUUUCCCUGGACAGGACGUCCAUGGAGAGGCUGUCUCUGGACAGGAGCUCUCUCGGGAGGGCGUCCUUCUGCGGCAGCGGCCGCUCGCUCUCCUUCACCGACCUGCACUCGGCCGCCACCUCCGCCGAGGACCUGCGUCUCUUCUGCUUCCACCCCGCGCGCCUGCCGUGCUCGCCCCACUGCGCCUCCUCCUGCGCCUCCUCCGCCUCCUCCACAGCGUCCUCCAGGAGCGCUGCCUCCGCCUGCGACAGCACUCUCAACAUCCUGGGAGGAGGCGUGGUCAGGCGCUGCAACCUGCGCACCUUCGGGGGCAGCUGGCGAUCGCUCCUCAAAAUGGGCGGGAUGAGCGGGCGCGCGAAGGCGACGGCCGCCGUCAAGAAGGUGUCGCCGCCGAGGGUCCCUGACACGGCCGUCUCGCACCGCCACUCGGGCUCCUCCCUCAGCUCCGGCGUGUACAGCACGGGCGGCAGCGACCAGCGCUCCUCCUACUCCUCCUCCGUGGGCGAGGACAACCCGCCGCCGUCGCCCAGGAGCCCCGCCAAGGGCAGUGUCCCUUGUGACCAUGGGCAGCUUGGCCGCCAUGGAGGGGCUAACCAGCAUGGAAACAACUCCCCAUCACAUUUCCACAACCAGCAGUUCACCUUCCCAACAAACCACCAGCAACAGGUACCUCAAUUUGCUCACCUGAUGUGCCCUAAGACCUCCCCUGGCUCUCCUCACCAUGUGCCACCAGACACAACGUAUUCAUAUCUUACCUACCAUCAUCAGACGUCCCUUGAGGACCAAGGCAUUGAUGUUCAGUCUCCAGGUCGUUCCAGUCCAGGCUCUGGGAGCGGCUCGUCCACUACUGGCUCCACUGCCUCAUCAGGAGGAUGUAGAAAUUCCACCACAUCUUUGGACUCGGGUCGAGCAUCCACCACAACCCACACACAUCAGCAUAGGCUCAGUGGGCAGAGCUAUGACAGUGGGUCCAUUCUUCGCCACAGCUACCAUUCGUCUAGCUCCAGUCUGGGGUCCAUGGAACAUGAUGGGGCCAUUCAUGUCAAUGUCACAGAGCUGCUCAACAAUGGCGUCAGAGACUCAGAAGUGUUGAGGGCUUGGCUCACAGAUCUCCGAUUUGAAGAAUACUAUGAGAAAUUCAUUUCUGCUGGCUAUGACAUGCCCACAAUCUUCAAAAUGACACCAGAAGAUCUGAAUGCCAUCGGUAUUACCAAACCAGCACACAGAAAGAAGCUCAAAGCUGAAAUCACUCGGCUUAACAUUCCUGACAGGCUGCCAGAUUUUAUUCCUGGUCGAUUAGAGGAAUGGUUAUCUAUUCUGCGUUUAGAGGAGUACACAGGGUCCCUUAAGCAGCAAGGCUAUACGUGCGUAGAGCAGAUGACACAACUGACUUGGGAGGAUCUUGAAGAUAUAGGCAUUACAAAAUUGGGACACCAGAAGAAAGUGAUGCUGGCUAUCAAACGUGUAAAGGACAUUAUGGCUGGGAAGAAAUUUUCAAGCAAUCCAGACAGUCAACAACAGUCGCACUAUGGAACUCAUGAAAUUAUGAUUUCCCGUGAAAACUGUGAAGGUCGAGACCAGUAUGCUAGUGUACCAGAAUUCAGGACCUUUUCAGGUCCAGGACUUUACAAUAAUGGCGAGCAUAGUAGAUUGAGUGGACCAGCUGACCCUGGAGGUCAUUAUGGUGUACCUGCACAUUAUGGACCUGGUGUUCAGUAUGGUCCAAUGCCACCUCCACAAGCACACGUCCAUCCUCUCCAAAAGCAACCAGUUGCAUAUCACCCACCAGGCCAGUUCAGUGGCCCUCAGGGCCCAUCACCUCCAGGGCCAAAGGUUUCUAAUGGGCAGCCACACCCCUUACCUGGUCCUGGCCAGGUGCAGUAUAGACCAGAUGUGGUAGCGGUGCAGGUUCGGCCUGGGGGCAGAGGAAGAAGUGUUGAAAGCUUAGAGGAACCCAUAUAUGGGACCUACCAAACAUUCCACCCAGACAGCCGAAUCCCAAAUGUCCAGGGCCCCAUGUCUCUUGGCAACCUCCCUCCUAGACCCUUCCCACCCUCAGCUCUAGGUCCGUCCCACCCCCAGCGGUCAAUGGACGAUGGUGACAUCACUCCUACAAAUGAAUACACCAUCAACUAUGAAGGUGGAGGAACUCUCCCCAGACCUCGCACAGCCAACAAACUCAGACCUGUUGCCAAAGUCACAGCAAAGACCAGGGUAGAUAUUCAUGAGGUGCCACAGUUCAUAAAGGAUGGAAACAAUGCGAAGAAUGCAGCACAGACUGAAGAAGCUAACAAGAAAGAGCUCAACAUGAAAACGCUAAACCGGCAAAAUUCAGAAAAUAUAUAUAGCUCCACUCAUUGCCCAGGAAGCAAUAAUAAUACCCCACAGGGAACUCCAAAGAAAUUACCCCCUCCACCCCCACGCCGCUCAAAUUCCAUCAGUGAGACAUCUAAAGAGACUGCUGCCAGAGAGGCUCAGUAUGGUUACCGGCGAGGAAUGUCCUAUGGAUACAUGGGCAUCAAAAACAACUUGCAGCCAGAUGUCACCCCUGAUCUCCCACCCCCUCCUGCACCCCCAGAUAGUGCCAACCACCAGCAUCUGCCCGAUGACUUCCCACCUCCCCCACCACCUCUGACUUGUGUAACUAUGGCCAGUGCCACCAGAAUUUCUGCCAGCUCAACAAUAACCACGUCCUCCAUCACAAGCGACACUAUUGCUACUUCACAGACCUCCACCACUGCCUCAGAUGGAGAAGUAGGCGAGUUCCGGCCAAGGCGCAAUGACUCCAAUGCCAGCUUUAAGUCGACCUCCAGCACAGACUCAGACUCGAUGCCGUUUGCUAAUGAGAAUGCUGGGACUAUCAAGCAGCGAGCAUGCCGCCCUCACCCAGGCCUCAGCGUCCUGGACACAAGAAAUUCCCCACACUCCUCUCCAAGAUCUUCCCCUGCUCUUCGCCGCAAGGAAACUCAGCCCCCCCUCAGGCAGAACCCAAUUGCUGCAGCUGAUCCAGCCAGUACAACAGCCACAAAGUCCAAUUCCAACAUCAGUGAAGUCACACUGCUCACUCAAGAACAUCAGUGCUGAGGUUAAAUUGCAACAGACAUUCCUUUUACUUUGGCAUACAUCGUGUUGCAGAGAGAGAGAGUACAUUUCUCCUGAUGGCACAGGGGACGUCCUGAAUGACAUCGGCAAUAUGCUCGCCAACUU